RNAcentral lists this ribosomal RNA (230 nucleotides) under uncultured bacterium. RNAcentral's name for it is "partial 16S ribosomal RNA". It matches the Rfam family "Bacterial small subunit ribosomal RNA", at positions 563 to 791 of the family's 1533-position model. The record is from RNAcentral.
AAGCGUGCGCAGGCGGUUAUGUAAGACAGAUGUGAAAUCCCCGGGCCUCAACCUGGGAACUGCAUUAGUGACUGCAUAGCUGGAGUACGGCAGAGGGGGAUGGAAUUCCGCGUGUAGCAGUGAAAUGCGUAGAUAUGCGGAGGAACACCGAUGGCGAAGGCAAUCCCCUGGGCCUGUACUGACGCUCAUGCACGAAAGCGUGGGGAGCAAACAGGAUUAGAUACCCCAGU